AAAACAUUCCCUCUAAUUUCAAGGGUGAAACCUGAUGCCUGCAAUUCCAGCCUCGGUCUAUGAGGGCAGUAAUGAGCCUUGCGGCAUGCGGUGUGACGCGAAAAACAGGGAAGAAGAGCAGUCUGGCGAUGUAAUUGAGGAUGGCUUGUCACAGAUGGUGUAAUGAAGUUUUUUUUGUAGUUCAUGCUAACGCUAGUAGCAUCUAGCUUGCCGUGUACAACAGGUAUCCAUUUAGGUGUUGUUGGGUUUCCUGUCCAGCAGGGCGCGGCAGGGGCGUCUAAGCGGUGUGUCGUAAGCGCCGCACACCCGGGUGUCGGCAAACAGGACACAGCUGAAGAAACCUGCCAAUUCCGCGUCUCGCAGAUCAGCCACAGAGCACCGAGGCUCUCCAUUGCAGCCUACAACACAUGUACGCACACAUACACACUGUGUGAGCACUUGCAUGAGACCACCACUUGCCAGGGGUCCACGAGUGUGAGGACGCACGUGUGAGGCACCAAAGCAAAGCCUGCUGGGAAGUGUAUUGUUUUUUGUUGAUCCAGAAGGAUAAGGCAGGAGGUUUCUUCAGAGGAUCUACCAGGAUGUCAUCUUCUGACAGAGACACAAACUUCCCUUGGACUGAACCUUUACACAAACACACACAUGCUUAUCACCACUUGGCAAUGUGGACUGUAGGUGGCGUGGACAGUCAAGGUACCAACCAUCCAGAAGUGGAAUCAAGUCUGCAGCAGGACCACAGGAAGCGUCGGACGACUCGUCUCCUUGAGGAAACAAAAGUUGUGACCUUGUCAGCCUCCAUGGCAGAGAUGUUGGAUCAAAGAUAAAAACAGUACCUGACUUCAUGUAUACGGCCUGGAAGAUGACAAUGGACGCUUGGUAGUCCUUCUUGUCCUUACUGUCCAUCGGCAGAGCAGACUCAGCUGUUACAAAUGUUAAUGAGUUAUAUUCAAUGGUAAUAAAUUGUACUUAUUAUUGAUUAAUUUUACUUGUUAAUUAAUUGUAUGUAUUAUUCAUUGUACUUAAUGUUGAUUGUUAUUCCUUAUUAAUUGUACUCAUUAUUGUACUGAUUAUUAAUCCUUGUACUAACUUUUGGUUUAUUGGACCUAUGGAAUCAUUGUACUUAUUAUGAUUGAAUACUGAGUCACUCUCUCAUCUCACUUAUGGUUAAGUUUUGUCCCCCAAAGUCAAACAGGAAGCUCCGCUGCUGCUCGUUGUAAACAAGUCCCGCCCCACAAAUGCGAUUGGCAGCUCCUUGCCCGGUCACAUCCCAGUCGCGCCGCCCACACAUCAUGAUGGAGGGAGAUCUCAGCCAACUGCAAAGCAUAGAACCUGAGAGAGAGAGGGUGGUGCUGAAGAGCCGAGCUACAAGAUUCCAUCCCCUGAGUUUUCUCCAUUCACGUCUCAACGUACCACCGCUCAAGCUGUUUUGGUUGAGGAUAAAGCCACUGCAGCAAGCCUCAUUGCGGCAGCCAACCUCGCAAAAGCGACGAGCCUCUUCGAGCGAUGCAUUCAUGAACACCUGAGUCCUGAACACACCCGAGACCACCUUGGCCAUUGCUAUCCUGGUGAAGCUUGUAGUAGACUCCACACCUGAAAAAACACCUGACUGUUACAACAACCUCACAAGCCACCUGCUGGUUGCUGUCGCAACGGUACCAUUCUUCCUGAUGACGAGCACAUUGGAGGCCACACCCCUCACCCUCGGGUAGCACCUCAACCAAUCAAAGAGCUCGGCCUUAGGAUUACCCAGAAAUCCACUGACCUGGAAUCACACACACCCAAACAAGGGUCUCCUAAGUAACCACACCACAGACAGCUAUGUGUUUGUGUGUACCUUAGUGGAGGUGUUGCAGUGUGUGUUCAGGGGGUGUGUACUGUAUAGUUGACACUGGCUGCUGGACAACACCACAUGAUGGCAGGAUUUGUCCACUGCACACGCUGAGGGAACAAACAUACCAACAUACAUUGACAUUGACGCAGUGUUAAUGCGGUGUGCAUGCGUGUGUGUGUGUCUCACCUUGAGCGCAUGUUCUAAGGUCAGCGGUCACUCUUUGCAGGAUUUCAGCAUCUUCUGCUCCAAAGACCACUUCUGAUUUGGGAACGACCUGGAACCCGCUGAGCACUGUAUACACACACAUACACACACACAUUACACUGUGUCUUUCAAAGGCUUCUUCGUUCUUUUUGGCUGUUCGAGUUCACCUGAGCAGUCCUCAUCCGUGAAUGGCUUGUCACUCUGUGUCCAGUCAAGCUCGACCCCCUCACUGUUAAAGCAGGUCCACCUGCCAGACUGGAGGUCAGGCUGCGCUGGCAGGAAGUUGCCUCGGUCAGAGCAACGAAGGCCCCGCCUCUCACAGUCUGUCGCACCUGUGCGCAGUCGCCCACCACACAGAGGUGAACAAGCAUGUGGUGGUGAUGUUUGUCCAGCAGGUGGUGUACUAAUGCGAAGAACUCACAUUGAUUGACAGAUAGUGACCCAGCAGCUGAGGAGCCUUUGGGACACUUGUUGCAGAAGUCCUGCCCCUCUUUGUCUUGAUAGGUUCCUUCAGGACACAGAAGACAUGCACCCUCUGUGGAGUAACUCCCGGCAGGACAAACAACUGCAUAGACACACAUCACGUCAGUGCCAAAGAUUGGUUGGUAUGUCGUUGGUAUGGAUGAUAGCUAACCAGACUCACCGCAGCCGUCGCCACUGUCGCUCAGGCGGUAACCACGGGAACAUCCCAAGGUGGGCAUGGUCACAGAAAGUUGUUUAGGCUGUGACGUGAAGCCAACAUGUGCCACCAUUCCCUUAAAGUCCUCCAGGAGACGAUUUGCUGAGGACAACAGUCCAAUAUUCAAUGGCCCAAUUUGUUCCACAGGGCCACGCUUUGGACGUGUGCUCACCCAUGUCGUGGAGCUCAGGGAGUUCCGAGGCCGGGAGAUCAGACAGGACGGCAGUCCAGGUAAUGGUCACCAUCAAUGCAUCUUUACCAUCACAAUGCACACGAACUGACGACUCGUCACACAGCGACACUUGCUGUCCCGAAGCUGGCAGCUACACACACACAGACAGUUGAGCGAGCGAGCAAGCGUUUUCCGUGUGUGCAUAUGUGUGUAUCACCUGAGCAGAGCAGAGCCCUCUGCUGGUCAUGUUGAAGAGCAGAGAGCGCAGUGUCUUCGUCUCCAAGCAGGAUCCUCUCAUCGUCCACUGCUGUGACAUGGACAACCUCUGUGUAGGCUGGCUGACUGGACACAUACACACACACACUGAGGACUACACAUCUGCGUAAUGACUGGAAAUAUUGAACAUGGUGCAGGGUCUAGAGGUUGUACUCUGGCAGGCUCCAGGCAGAGGUUUGUUGUCUCCUUCCCACUGACGGCCAGCCAUCUCGCAUGUGAAACUUCGGACAGGAAGUGUAUUGUGGUAACCACGGUGACAGAUGAGGUUGCAGCUCUGUCGGCCAUCUUGUGCAGGGUCGCACACUAGGGUGCCAUGCGUGAUGGGGGAGUUGGCACAGGCGGAACCUGGACACCAGCAGAGGUCACCGACAAGUUAAGCUCACUGGAUUCUGCUGAUUGCUACAACUUGGCAUCACAGCACAUCUCUCAAAUUAUUAAACAGUCCAACAUCAGCUCAUUUGGGAUAUUGUUGCAGUUUUAAUUCGCACAUUAC
This is a non-coding RNA of Doryrhamphus excisus (bluestripe pipefish), 3655 nucleotides long. NCBI's taxonomy places the organism in Eukaryota, Metazoa, Chordata, Actinopteri, Syngnathiformes, Syngnathidae. The record is from RefSeq and is a predicted model, not a curated record.